RNAcentral lists this small RNA (80 nucleotides) under Sinorhizobium meliloti 2011. RNAcentral describes it as "putative ncRNA". Lineage: Bacteria; Pseudomonadati; Pseudomonadota; Alphaproteobacteria; Hyphomicrobiales; Rhizobiaceae. The record is from RNAcentral.
AAAUCGGAGGGGUAGGGGAGCAUUGUGAGCUUUGGCCCGUCGAUACCGCCGGGACGGGCGACUAGCACCCCUUCCUUGCA